ACGAACGCUGGCGGCGUGCCUAAUACAUGCAAGUCGCACGCUUCUUUCCUCCCGAGUGCUUGCACUCAAUUGGAAAGAGGAGUGGCGGACGGGUUAGUAACACGUGGGUAACCUACCCAUCAGAGGGGGAUAACACUUGGAAACAGGUGCUAAUACCGCAUAACAGUUUAUGCCGCAUGGCAUAAGAGUGAAAGGCGCUUUCGGGUGUCGCUGAUGGAUGGACCCGCGGUGCAUUAGCUAGUUGGUGAGGUAACGGCUCACCAAGGCCACGAUGCAUAGCCGACCUGAGAGGGUGAUCGGCCACACUGGGACUGAGACACGGCCCAGACUCCUACGGGAGGCAGCAGUAGGGAAUCUUCGGCAAUGGACGAAAGUCUGACCGAGCAACGCCGCGUGAGUGAAGAAGGUUUUCGGAUCGUAAAACUCUGUUGUUAGAGAAGAACAAGGACGUUAGUAACUGAACGUCCCCUGACGGUAUCUAACCAGAAAGACACGGCUAACUACGUG
RNAcentral lists this ribosomal RNA (507 nucleotides) under uncultured bacterium. RNAcentral describes it as "partial 16S ribosomal RNA". It matches the Rfam family "Bacterial small subunit ribosomal RNA", at positions 29 to 507 of the family's 1533-position model. The record is from RNAcentral.